This 891-nucleotide ribosomal RNA is filed under the name uncultured Bacteroides sp. Its description in RNAcentral is "bacterial SSU rRNA". It matches the Rfam family "Bacterial small subunit ribosomal RNA", at positions 485 to 1396 of the family's 1533-position model. Lineage: Bacteria; Pseudomonadati; Bacteroidota; Bacteroidia; Bacteroidales; Bacteroidaceae. The record is from RNAcentral.
AAUAAGAUCGGCUAACUCCGUGCCAGCAGCCGCGGUAAUACGGAGGAUGCGAGCGUUAUCCGGAUUAUUGGGUUUAAAGGGAGCGUAGACGGGAGAUUAAGUCAGUUGUGAAAGGCUGCGGCUCACCGCAGCACUGCAGUUGAUACUGGUUUCCUUGAGUGCGGUUGAGGUGUAUGGAAUUCGGGUGUAGCGGUGAAAUGCUUAGAUAUCACGAAGAACUCCGAUUGCGAAGGCAGUACACUAGCCGUAACUGACGUUGAGGCUCGAAAGUGUGGGUAUCAAACAGGAUUAGAUACCCUGGAGUCCACACGGUAAACGAUGAAUACUCGCUGUUGGCGAUAUACAGUCAGCGGCCAAGCGAAGCAUUAAGUAUUCCACCUGGGGAGUACGCCGGCAACGGUGAAACUCAAAGGAAUUGAGGGGGCCCGCACAAGCGGAGGAACAUGUGGUUUAAUUCGAUGAUACGCGAGGAACCUUACCGGGCUUAAAUUGCACUGGACAGGCUCAGAGAUGGGCCCUUCUUCGGACCAGUGUGAAGUGCUGCAUGGUUGUCGUCAGCUCGUGCCGUGAGGUGUCGGCUUAAGUGCCAUAACGAGGCAACCCUUGCCAUUAGUUACUAACAGGUUAUGCUGAGGACUCUAGUGGGACUGCCAUCUAAGAUGUGAGGAAGGUGGGGAUGACGUCAAAUCAGCACGGCCCUUACGUCCGGGGCUAACACGUGUUACAAUGGGAGGUACAGAAGGCUGCUACCCGGCGACGGGAUGCCAAUCCCCAAACCUCUCUCAGUUCGGAUUGGAGUCUGCAACCCGACUCCAUGAAGCUGGAUUCGCUAUAAUCGCGCAUCAGCCACGGCGCGGUGAAUACGUUCCCGGGCCUUGUACACACCGCCCG